Aedes aegypti (yellow fever mosquito) is the source of this 497-nucleotide long non-coding RNA. RefSeq lists it as uncharacterized. NCBI's taxonomy places the organism in Eukaryota, Metazoa, Arthropoda, Insecta, Diptera, Culicidae. The record is from RefSeq and is a predicted model, not a curated record. The transcript has 2 exons.
AUGGUAGUCGAGAACUGCCAAAACGUAUGGAAAAUAAUGAAAAACGUUAAUUACUAGCUGUUGCGAAACUGGCAACCCCGCCAGAGCGAAAGCAGAACGAGCGAACGCCUGACGGAACGGGAGAACAAAUGUAGAAACGUCAAGUAUAGAUUGCCCAGGAAAAGUACCUAUACGUAUCGAUGCAAUGACGAUGUGAUUUCUAGUGCGUGGCACAAAUUUAUAUAUAUCUGGAAAAUUUACAUUAUAAAGCGUAGAAUUUGGAUUUUCGGAAGCAUAAGUGGCAGGUGUGCAAUGCACAGGUGGAUGUGAAGUGGAUAAAUGAAUUUAUACACGAUUUUGGUGAAUUUCAGGUCUUAGGUUUGGACCACAUAGCAACACUAGAAUUCUAACCUUCGCUGGACACUCAGAAGUAGUUUAUAGUCAAAUUACCGUGUUCAAUUCAAGGACCGGUGAAAACCAGUUAAAAGCAAAGCUAUUGUUAGGAAUAUUCGUUAAAU